UCACCCUAGACUUACCACCGUUUCUGUUACUACUUUUUACAGUACUCCAUUUGUUUAUAUUAUAUAUAAAUAAUUCAAUUUAUUUUUCAAGAGUAUUUUUCAAGAAAAAUUUUAUGUGAAAAAAACUUCCGUCCUACCAAACAUAAAUAUCAAUACACUAGUGGAACAAGAAUGCAAGAGCACUACAUGAAUGUUCAUCGAUGGUGCUCCGAGAAUAUUUUUAUUUUGCCAACCAAUUGUUUACUGAAAAUAUUCAACUUUAUCUUUUAUAGAAGAUGGGGCUUGAGCUACGAGUUCAAUUUACCGAACGAGAAGUACUACAAAUUUAUAACUAACAUUCUUUUUUUAUGCUUCCAACCUAUUAUGUUGAUAUUGUUCCUAGUAUGUGAUGAGGCGUACUAAUUUUCACCAAAUGAUGGUAAAUAGUAUCCUUAUCACGUGAUUAUUGCAAAUUCUAAAAUUUCUUCAAAUAUUCAAUUUUUCAUAUCGGUUUAACUAGGUCCCUUACAUUUUCGUUUUUCUUUUGUUUUGGGGUUAGGAGAAGGAAUCCAGAUGUCUCAAUGUCUUUUUAUGCAUUACUUAUCACAUGUUCAUCUGCAAAUUAAAGCAAUUAUCUGGAAUUCGUUUGGCUAAUAUAUCAGCCAGACUUUGAACUAUUUCGUUCUCUUUAAAGAUAGCUGAUUAAACUAUGAAUGAUCUUCUCGAUUGAUCAAAAACAUAUAGAAGGAAUUAAGUGAAAUAAACUUGCAGAAAAUACGGGGGAUGGAGAUCACAAUUAGCACAAGAAAUUAAAUUGCAUGUGUGGUCACUAGAUUUUACUACUCAGUAAAUUACAAAAUUAUUAUUUUUUCUCAUUAAAAUCAUUGAAUUUUAUCAUAUUUCAGUAAAGACAAAACUAACUUUGUUAUCAUUAAUUUCCCUAGAUUAUGUGUUAUGACUUCUCUGCCAAAUGUAUUCAGUUCUGCCAUUUGCAUUACUACAUAAAGCAUGAAGUUUGCAAACCAAGAAAAAUAUUUUAGGAACAAUAUUAUUCUUCAUGUGGUCCAACUUGACUGCACUUCUGUAAUGGGUGAAAUAUAAAGGAUCCCGUUGUACCAAUGUGGUCGAGACACAUGACACAAAGGAUAAGACUUCAGCUGAGUCAGCAUCGCUGCGACCGGGGAAGAUCUAUGUACUUGUUUAGGGGCAGAGAAGAUGGACGGCGUUCAAGGCAUGGAAUCUGAGAAGAUCUGCAGGCCUUUGUUCAUUUCUUCUUAACCUCUUUCAUUUAUUUAUCUGUUGCUUCUUCAUUUAUUCACUGGUGUUCUUCAAGAUUCUCAUCUAUAAGUUGGAUAAAUUACACAUUAUUUUGGAAUUGUGCCAGUAUUUGCUGCUUGGUUGUAUUUAAGAGUACAAGAAAAGAAUCAUCAUACUGGAAAGAAAGACCGGACUGUUCUGACAUGGUUUAACUCUUGCUUGGAACAAGACAUCAACUAGAUGCAAGAGAAGUGGUGACAAAGCAUUCUCAGGUAGAUAUGAAAAUUAGCUAGGAAGAAAAGACGGGUACUCUAACAGAGGAUAUGGCUAAAAGAAAGGUUCAGAGCAGUGCAAUGUUGUUGCUUCUCUUGCUAUGUUGUAUUUCUAUGUUGUUGCUCAUUAGAUUCUUAGAAUAUUGUUGUGUGUAAAUGUGUUCAUCCUUAUUGAUUAAACUCAGAAUUAUGAUCUGGGUCA
Molecule: long non-coding RNA, 1710 nt
Organism: Lycium ferocissimum
Lineage: Eukaryota; Viridiplantae; Streptophyta; Magnoliopsida; Solanales; Solanaceae
Exons: 5
Source: RefSeq, a predicted model, not a curated record